GACGAACGCUGGCGGCGUGCCUAACACAUGCAAGUCGAGCGAGGUAUUUAUACCUAGCGGCGGACGGGUGAGUAACACGUGGGUAACCUGCCUCAUAGAGGGGAAUAGCCUUCCGAAAGGGAGAUUAAUACCGCAUAAUAUAUACCGGUAGCAUUAAUGGUAUAUCAAAGGAGAAAUCCGCUAUGAGAUGGGCCCGCGGCGCAUUAGCUAGUUGGAGAGGUAACGGCUCACCAAGGCGACGAUGCGUAGCCGACCUGAGAGGGUGAUCGGCCACAUUGGAACUGAGACACGGUCCAGACUCCUACGGGAGGCAGCAGUGGGAAUAUUGCACAAUGGGGGAAACCCUGAUGCAGCAACGCCGCGUGAAUGAUGACGGCCUCGGUUGUAAAGUUCUUUG
RNAcentral lists this ribosomal RNA (397 nucleotides) under uncultured bacterium. RNAcentral describes it as "bacterial SSU rRNA". It matches the Rfam family "Bacterial small subunit ribosomal RNA", at positions 28 to 437 of the family's 1533-position model. The record is from RNAcentral.